GGGUUUUCCACAGUGUACUUGAGACUUUCAUUAUAGUUCAAAGCAUUUAAUCUAGUUUUGCCACCAUCAAACAAGCUACUUAUCCUUGAAAACAUAGGAAAGACAUACAACUCAUAUACGAUACCAAGAUGUUGCAGAAUGAAAACCAGGAAGUAGCUAAAAAUCGAGAAGAACCCCAAUUGG
This is a long non-coding RNA of Ostrea edulis (European flat oyster), 183 nucleotides long. RefSeq lists it as uncharacterized. The record is from RefSeq and is a predicted model, not a curated record. NCBI's taxonomy places the organism in Eukaryota, Metazoa, Mollusca, Bivalvia, Ostreida, Ostreidae. The transcript has 3 exons.